CAGUAGCCGCGGUAAUGCGUAGGUCCCGAGCGUUGUCCGGAUUUAUUGGGCGUAAAGCGAGCGCAAGCGGUUAGAUAAGUCUGAAGUUAAAGGCUGUGGCUUAACCAUAGUACGUUUUGGAAACUGUUUAACUUGAGUGCAAGAGGGGAGAGUGGAAUUCCAUGUGUAGCGGUGAAAUGCGUAGAUAUAUGGAGGAACACCGGUGGCGAAAGCGGCUCUCUGGUCUGUAACUGACGCUGAGGCUCGAAAGCGUGGGGAGCAAACAGGAUUAGAUACCCCUGUAGUCCCUGUCUCUUAUACA
RNAcentral lists this ribosomal RNA (301 nucleotides) under uncultured bacterium. RNAcentral describes it as "partial 16S ribosomal RNA". It matches the Rfam family "Bacterial small subunit ribosomal RNA", at positions 509 to 808 of the family's 1533-position model. The record is from RNAcentral.